UACGAAGGGGGGCUAGCGUUGCUCGGAAUCACUGGGCGUAAAGCGCACGUAGGCGGAUCUUUAAGUCAGGGGUGAAAUCCCGGGGCUCAACCUCGGAACUGCCCUUGAUACUGGGGAUCUCGAGUCCGGAAGAGGUUGGUGGAACUCCGAGUGUAGAGGUGAAAUUCGUAGAUAUUCGGAAGAACACCAGUGGCGAAGGCGGCCAACUGGUCCGGCACUGACGCUGAGGUGCGAAAGCGUGGGGAGCAAACAGG
Molecule: ribosomal RNA, 254 nt
Filed under: uncultured bacterium
Lineage: Bacteria
Description: partial 16S ribosomal RNA
Rfam family: Bacterial small subunit ribosomal RNA
Source: RNAcentral